GACGAACGCUGGCGGCGUGCUUAACACAUGCAAGUCGAACGGAGAGGCCCUGCUUGCAGGGUACUCGAGUGGCGAACGGGUGAGUAACACGUGGGUGAUCUGCCCUGCACUUCGGGAUAAGCCUGGGCAACUGGGUCUAAUACCGGAUAGGAGCCAUUUUUAGUGUGAUGGUUGGACAGUUUUUUCGGUGUAGGAUGAGCUCGCGGCCUAUCGGCUUGUUGGUGGGGUAAUGGCCUACCAAGGCGGCGACGGGUAGCCGGCCUGAGAGGGUGGACGGCCACAUUGGGACUGAGAUACGGCCCAGACUCCUACGGGAGGCAGCAGUGGGGAAUAUUGCACAAUGGGCGCAAGCCUGAUGCAGCGACGCCGCGUGGGGGAUGACGGCCUUCGGGUUGUAAACUCCUUUCGCUAGGGACGAAGCUUUUUGUGACGGUACCUAGAUAAGAAGCACCGGCUAACUACGUG
RNAcentral lists this ribosomal RNA (465 nucleotides) under uncultured bacterium. RNAcentral describes it as "partial 16S ribosomal RNA". It matches the Rfam family "Bacterial small subunit ribosomal RNA", at positions 28 to 507 of the family's 1533-position model. The record is from RNAcentral.